CGCAACGCCGACUGUAAAAUAUCCUCCAGAAGUUCGCCCUUCACGGCAGACCGUAUUUCCCCAACUAAAAGCCAAACCAAACGAGGAAGAAACUUGAAAUCCCCCUCCCGGUUUCCUCUCUUCGCACCUCCGCUUGAACGAUCGAGGCGCCGGCAGGCCAAGGAGUCUGGACUGGAUACACUCCUUCUCUUUUGUCCCGUGUGAUAAAAGAUUUAUAGCUUAUAAUAUCACAACAAUUGCCAUUUAGAAGAUUUUGGUGGCCAGAGCACAAAGCAAGUCACUGAACCAUGCUCAUGGUCUGCUGGAAUAUCACACUAAAACUUCAUGCUUGUAUGUGCAAAGACGAUCCCAAAAGUCCAUCAGUUGGUAUCCUGUCAAGAGGCUGGAACCACCUUCAUGGCCGUUAAUUCGUACAAGAUGGCCAAACCCAUUUUCAUGUACUAUGCCAUGCAGCAAAUGUCGUGGAUCAUCAAUCUGGGCAUAGUCCCAAUCUUCAGAUUCAUCAUGGGGUAACGCAGAACCAUGACUGCACGCCGGGCACCUGAUCAUUGAUUAAAUAAUUGUCAUAUCUGAAGACAUCAUUGCAGUUCAGCGUGUAAUUUUAUUUGUCAUCAGAAGUUGCAGUGUUGCAACCGUUUUUAUUGUCACAUUUGUUUGGAGUGAUAUUGUUGCUUUAUUAGAUUGCAAAUACUGAACAUUGGUGAACCAACCUUGUCUCAAAUAUUUGAACCAUCAGGCCACAACGCCGGCAGGUUUUGCAGCUGGCCAUUUUCUCAUUC
Molecule: long non-coding RNA, 779 nt
Organism: Triticum aestivum (bread wheat)
Lineage: Eukaryota; Viridiplantae; Streptophyta; Magnoliopsida; Poales; Poaceae
Exons: 4
Source: RefSeq, a predicted model, not a curated record